GAUGAAGAACGUAGCGAAAUGCGAUACGUAGUGUGAAUUGCAGAAUUCAGUGAAUCAUCGAAUCUUUGAACGCACAUUGCACCUCUCGGUAUUCCGGGAGGUAUGCCUGUUCGAGCGUCAUUUGUACCCUCAAGCUUUGCUUGGUGUUGGGCGUCUUGUCUCUAGCUUUGCUGGAGACUCGCCUUAAAGUAAUUGGCAGCCGGCCUACUGGUUUCGGAGCGCAGCACAAGUCGCACUCUCUAUCAGCAAAGGUCUAGCAUCCAUUAAGCCUUUUUUUCAACUUUUGACCUCGGAUCAGGUAGGGAUACCCGCUGAACUUAAGCAUAUCAAUAAGCGGAGGA
This 341-nucleotide unclassified non-coding RNA is filed under the name soil metagenome. RNAcentral's name for it is "partial contains 5.8S ribosomal RNA, internal transcribed spacer 2, and large subunit ribosomal RNA". The stretch from base 1 to 120 matches the Rfam family "5.8S ribosomal RNA", at positions 35 to 154 of the family's 154-position model. The record is from RNAcentral.